GCUGGCGUAGUUUAAUGGUAGAACAACUGAUUUGUAACCAGUUAAUGGGAGUUCAAUUCUCUCCGUCAGCUCCA
RNAcentral lists this transfer RNA (74 nucleotides) under Caudoviricetes sp. RNAcentral describes it as "tRNA-Thr". It matches the Rfam family "tRNA". From Rfam's summary of the family: Transfer RNA (tRNA) molecules are approximately 80 nucleotides in length. Their secondary structure includes four short double-helical elements and three loops (D, anti-codon, and T loops). Further hydrogen bonds mediate the characteristic L-shaped molecular structure. tRNAs have two regions of fundamental functional importance: the anti-codon, which is responsible for specific mRNA codon recognition, and the 3' end, to which the tRNAs corresponding amino acid is attached (by aminoacyl-tRNA synthetases). tRNAs cope with the degeneracy of the genetic code in two manners: having more than one tRNA (with a specific anti-codon) for a particular amino acid; and 'wobble' base-pairing, i.e. permitting non-standard base-pairing at the 3rd anti-codon position. Lineage: Duplodnaviria; Heunggongvirae; Uroviricota; Caudoviricetes. The record is from RNAcentral.